AUUUUAGGGAAGCAUUUCCCAGACUUGCCAUCCAGCUGGCUUCUAGGUGACUAGCUGGUUGGUGGGGACUCGCCCAGGAGGAUCGGGACACUGAAGAUGCAGAAAAGCCCCUGACGCCCGGGAUGUGCUGACCAAGAAGUUUCUCGGAGGCGUCCAUCUGGGGCCACUGUCCUAGGGUGCGAGCCCAAGGGGGUGACGCUGCUUCGAAGACGUUGGAGUCCUUACCCCACGGUCUGGGCCUUGCCCCUCGGAUAUCUUCAUGCCGCCCUCCUUUAUUUCUGUAUUUCUUCUCUAGUGGAAGGAGGACUACAACCUUGCAAGGAAGCUAGCUUUUUGCUUGCAGGGAGCAGGGAUGCUGGACCAGCAGGUGCCUGGCGGAGCUGCCCAUCCAGGCCUAGGUUCCCCAGUGUGGACAGGAAUAGUCAUCACCCAAAGAGCACCGAGACACAAACAUCGGUUUGUUCACGCAGUCAUUUUCUAGGAACUGGGAAGCCACCCUUCAAGAGGACCCACCCCAGCCAGCCCUUGUACAGUUCCUGGCUUUAACAAUCCAGGAAAGACUGCUAGUGGGAUCUGGGACUUUGGUUCCUUGCACCCACACUCUUUUCCCCCUUUAAAAUAUACAGAAUUGUACUUUCUAGGAGGAAAUUGGAGCUUGAGGUAGCAAAAGUCCAGUCCUCAGAGGUCAAGGUUCCCAUGAUUUAUUAGUAGGGCUGACUGUGAGCUGGAACUCCUGCUGUGAGAGUUACCACCAGUAAAGAGGAAGUGGUCUCUUCCCUUCCCUUCCUCACUUUUCCUUUCCCUUUUUGUCUCAGAGCUUCUCUCUGACCUAAAAGCUUUCCCAUUACCAUCAACGUAGAAACUUGCUUCUUCACAUGGGUAUAUUCUCCCUCUUCUGUGCAUUACCUUGUUCCUCAAAACUACCCUUCCUCGAAGGAGGCAUGUAGGACUUAAUGGAGCCUGGUCAGCCACCCAGGCCCCAAUAAAGUCUCUUGUACCUCAGAAUGGGGUAGAAAA
RNAcentral lists this long non-coding RNA (1017 nucleotides) under Castor canadensis (American beaver). RNAcentral's name for it is "lncRNA (ENSCCNG00000007741.1)". Lineage: Eukaryota; Metazoa; Chordata; Mammalia; Rodentia; Castoridae. The record is from RNAcentral.